AAAAAUUGAAAAAAAAAACCAAAA
This 24-nucleotide small RNA is filed under the name Arabidopsis thaliana (thale cress). RNAcentral's name for it is "ATSL139150". Lineage: Eukaryota; Viridiplantae; Streptophyta; Magnoliopsida; Brassicales; Brassicaceae. The record is from RNAcentral.